RNAcentral lists this ribosomal RNA (520 nucleotides) under uncultured Glomus. RNAcentral's name for it is "SSU rRNA". It matches the Rfam family "Eukaryotic small subunit ribosomal RNA", at positions 569 to 1093 of the family's 1831-position model. Lineage: Eukaryota; Fungi; Glomeromycota; Glomeromycetes; Glomerales; Glomeraceae. The record is from RNAcentral.
AGCAGCCGCGGUAAUUCCAGCUCCAAUAGCGUAUAUUAAAGUUGUUGCAGUUAAAAAGCUCGUAGUUGAAUUUCGGGAUCAGUUUGUUGGUCGUGCUUCGGUACGUACUGUCAUUACUGGUUUCUACCUUCUGAAGAACCUUGAUGUCAUUAAUUUGGUGUCUUGGGGAAUCAGGACUGUUACUUUGAAAAAUUAGAGUGUUUAAAGCAAGCAUACGCUUGAAUACAUUAGCAUGGAAUAAUGAAAUAGGACGUUUGAUUCUAUUUUGUUGGUUUCUAGGAUCGACGUAAUGAUUAAUAGGGAUAGUUGGGGGCAUUAGUAUUCAAUUGUCAGAGGUGAAAUUCUUGGAUUUAUUGAAGACUAACUACUGCGAAAGCAUUUGCCAAGGAUGUUUUCAUUAAUCAAGAACGAAAGUUAGGGGAUCGAAGACGAUCAGAUACCGUCGUAGUCUUAACCAUAAACUAUGCCGACUAGGGAUCGGAUGAUGUUAUUUUUAAUGUACUCAUUCGGCGCCUUACGG